Physeter macrocephalus (sperm whale) is the source of this 1375-nucleotide long non-coding RNA. RefSeq lists it as uncharacterized. The transcript has 3 exons. NCBI's taxonomy places the organism in Eukaryota, Metazoa, Chordata, Mammalia, Artiodactyla, Physeteridae. The record is from RefSeq and is a predicted model, not a curated record.
UCUUCCAGGGCCUGACCUCCGCCACCUCCCUGGAGGCGACCUCACAGGCCCUCAUGCGGAAGAACAGCUUCUUGGCCAGUAACAUUUUUAACAGUUCCUUAGUGGGUAAGAACCUCAGCUCAGAAUCUGCCACCCCAAGUUACGUACAGCAUCCAGACCAGCAUUUUGUACAGCUUGAGGACGGAUCUGGUGAAAAACCCUUUCUGGAAGUUCCACCCUCAGAGCCUCCCAGCCAAUGGGUUCAAGUAUAACUACAUCUUUGUCCCGUUGCAAGACAUGAUCGAAAGAGCUAUCAUCUCAGUGCAGAUGGGGCAGGAGGCCCUGGACCCGGCCGUGCAGGUGCAGGCCAUCCCGUACCCGUGUCACACCAGCCACCUAAUGCGAAAUAAUUUAAGAAGAGGAAAAGAUUGGAGGGGUGGUGGUGUAUACAACAGCAUAGAAGGGAGAGAGACAUGUUUUCGGAGCAAAGCAGCCUGGUGUUGGCCGAAAGAGUUUACUUCAGUGGUUUUGUUGAUGAAAGGCUCUUUCUUCCCACUCUUCCUUUAAAAAGUGUGAGAGGCUUGGUUCUGUCUUCCUGGAGGAACUGAAAGAACAGACCCUUGAGUGAAAUGUGGACGUGCUGUGAGCAGGAGUCUUUCGAAAGGUGACGAUGUGCCCUGGAGGCGACAUGGACCGCGCAUGUGCGCUGAGAUCCACCGGUUUUGAGCUGGUCCUGUCUGCUCGGCGCUCCCGCCCGGCUCCUGAGAACUCGCGUGUGUGUUCCCCCUCUCCUCUCAUCUUGGUCUGUGCCCGUCCCCCCACCUCCUGGCUCUGCUUCCUGCUCCAAUGAUGAGCUUGCCUGUUGGGCUUGUAGAGAGAUGUGGUCCUUCUUGUUUGGACCUCCGGAUCUCCUCAGAAUGAGGUUUUCAUUAAUUUUCUCAGUUUUGCUGCUUCUGGCAGCUCUGGACCCUGGGAAUCAAUCACCUGGCCAUAGGCUGUGCCCAGUUCCCCAAGCACUGCCUCGAGGGAGGGGAGGUUUGAUGAAUGGGUGCAGGGUGGAGAGGUGACGUGACCACGACUUUCUAGAAGAUGCCCUGGAGAACGCGGUCUGGGAGUUGGUGGAGAAAGCUCAGGAGCAGGACAGACCAGAGAGAUGCUGCCACCAGAAGAGGCUUCUUGCAAGAGCAGUAAACACCCAAAGCACUGAGCCCGAAAGAAUCGAAAGCAGGGUCUCAGAGAGAUAUUGGGGCAUCCACGUCCGUAUAGCAACGUUGUUCACAGUGACCAGAGCGUGGAAGCAACCCAAGUGUCUAUCGCUGAAUGAAUGUGUAAAUAAAGUGUGGUCUCUACAUGCCAUGGAAUGUCACUCAGCCUUAAAAAAGAAGGAAAUUCUGAC